This 253-nucleotide ribosomal RNA is filed under the name uncultured bacterium. RNAcentral's name for it is "partial 16S ribosomal RNA". It matches the Rfam family "Bacterial small subunit ribosomal RNA", at positions 524 to 776 of the family's 1533-position model. The record is from RNAcentral.
UACGGAGGGAGCAAGCGUUACUCGGAAUUAUUGGGCGUAAAGGGCGCGUAAGCGAUUUGAAAAGUCUUGUGUGAAAGCCCCGAGCUUAACUCGGGAAGUGCACAAGAAACUGUUGAAUUUGAGUUCCGGAGAGGAAGGCAGAAUUCCCGGUGUAGCGGUGAAAUGCGUAGAUAUCGGGAGGAAUACCAGUGGCGAAGGCGGCCUUCUGGACGGAUACUGACGCUGAGGCGCGAAAGCCAGGGGAGCAAACGGG